RNAcentral lists this ribosomal RNA (511 nucleotides) under uncultured bacterium. Its description in RNAcentral is "bacterial SSU rRNA". It matches the Rfam family "Bacterial small subunit ribosomal RNA", at positions 8 to 508 of the family's 1533-position model. The record is from RNAcentral.
AGGGUUUGAUUAUGGCUCAGAUUGAACGCUGGCGGCAGGCCUAACACAUGCAAGUCGAGCGGUAACAGGAAGUAGCUUGCUACUUCGCUGACGAGCGGCGGACGGGUGAGUAAUGCCUGGGAAUAUGCCUUGAUGUGGGGGAUAACUAUUGGAAACGAUAGCUAAUACCGCAUAAUGCCUACGGGCCAAAGAGGGGGAUCUUCGGGCCUCUCGCGUCAAGAUUAGCCCAGGUGGGAUUAGCUAGUUGGUGGGGUAAAGGCUCACCAAGGCGACGAUCCCUAGCUGGUCUGAGAGGAUGAUCAGCCACACUGGAACUGAGACACGGUCCAGACUCCUACGGGAGGCAGCAGUGGGGAAUAUUGCACAAUGGGGGAAACCCUGAUGCAGCCAUGCCGCGUGUAUGAAGAAGGCCUUCGGGUUGUAAAGUACUUUCAGCAGUGAGGAAGGUGGUGAUGUUAAUAGCAUCAUCAUUUGACGUUAGCUGCAGAAGAAGCACCGGCUAACUCCGUGC